RNAcentral lists this ribosomal RNA (871 nucleotides) under uncultured bacterium. RNAcentral describes it as "bacterial SSU rRNA". It matches the Rfam family "Bacterial small subunit ribosomal RNA", at positions 62 to 947 of the family's 1533-position model. The record is from RNAcentral.
UCGANCGAUGAAGUUCCUUCGGGAAUGGAUUAGUGGCGAACGGGUGAGGAACACGUGAGAAACCUGCCUUUCAUUCUGGGAUAACACCGGGAAACCGGUGCUAAUACCGGAUACUCCAUCUUGGCGGCAUCGCCGAGCUGGGAAAAAAUUUUGAUGAAAGAUGGUCUCGCGGCCUAUCAGCUAGUUGGUGAGGUAAAGGCUCACCAAGGCGACGACGGGUAGCCGGCCUGAGAGGGCGACCGGCCACACUGGGACUGAGACACGGCCCAGACUCCUACGGGAGGCAGCAGUAGGGAAUAUUGGGCAAUGGGCGAAAGCCUGACCCAGCGACGCCGCGUGAGGGAUGAAGGUCUUCGGAUUGUAAACCUCUUUCAGUAGGGAAGAAGCGAAAGUGACGGUACCUAAAGAAGAAGCACCGGCUAACUAUGUGCCAGCAGCCGCGGUAAUACAUAGGGUGCAAGCGUUGUCCGGAAUUAUUGGGCGUAAAGAGCUCGUAGGUCGUUUGUCGCGUCGAUUGUGAAAAUCUGAGGCUCAACCUCAGACCUGCGGUCGAUACGGGCAAACUAGAGUGUGGUAGGGGAGACUGGAAUUCCUGGUGUAGCGGUGGAAUGCGCAGAUAUCAGGAGGAACACCAAUGGCGAAGGCAGGUCUCUGGGCCAUAACUGACACUGAGGAGCGAAAGUGCGGGGAGCGAACAGGAUUAGAUACCCUGGUAGUCCGCACCGUAAACGGUGGGCACUAGUUGUGGGAACCUUCCACGGUUUCCGCGACGCAGCAAACGCAUUAAGUGCCCCGCCUGGGGAGUACGAUCGCAAGAUUAAAACUCAAAGGAAUUGACGGGGCCCCGCACAAGCAGCGGAGCAUGCGGCUU